GUGUCUUUAGCUUAAUGGUAGAGCGCUUGAUUGUGGCUCAAGAUGAUGUUGGUUCAACUCCAAUAAGACACCC
RNAcentral lists this transfer RNA (73 nucleotides) under Crassvirales sp. RNAcentral describes it as "tRNA-His". It matches the Rfam family "tRNA". From Rfam's summary of the family: Transfer RNA (tRNA) molecules are approximately 80 nucleotides in length. Their secondary structure includes four short double-helical elements and three loops (D, anti-codon, and T loops). Further hydrogen bonds mediate the characteristic L-shaped molecular structure. tRNAs have two regions of fundamental functional importance: the anti-codon, which is responsible for specific mRNA codon recognition, and the 3' end, to which the tRNAs corresponding amino acid is attached (by aminoacyl-tRNA synthetases). tRNAs cope with the degeneracy of the genetic code in two manners: having more than one tRNA (with a specific anti-codon) for a particular amino acid; and 'wobble' base-pairing, i.e. permitting non-standard base-pairing at the 3rd anti-codon position. The record is from RNAcentral. Lineage: Duplodnaviria; Heunggongvirae; Uroviricota; Caudoviricetes; Crassvirales.